This 350-nucleotide ribosomal RNA is filed under the name uncultured Lysobacterales bacterium. RNAcentral's name for it is "bacterial SSU rRNA". It matches the Rfam family "Bacterial small subunit ribosomal RNA", at positions 790 to 1138 of the family's 1533-position model. Lineage: Bacteria; Pseudomonadati; Pseudomonadota; Gammaproteobacteria; Lysobacterales. The record is from RNAcentral.
GUAGUCCACGCCCUAAACGAUGCGAACUGGAUGUUGGGUGCAAUUUGGCACGCAGUAUCGAAGCUAACGCGUUAAGUUCGCCGCCUGGGGAGUACGGUCGCAAGACUGAAACUCAAAGGAAUUGACGGGGGCCCGCACAAGCGGUGGAGUAUGUGGUUUAAUUCGAUGCAACGCGAAGAACCUUACCUGCUCUUGACAUCCUGCGAAUCUCCCAGAGAUGGGAGAGUGCCUUCGGGAACGCAGAGACAGGUGCUGCAUGGCUGUCGUCAGCUCGUGUUGUGAAAUGUUGGGUUAAGUCCCGCAACGAGCGCAACCCUUGUCCUUAGUUGCCAGCACGUAAUGGUGGGAAC